CGCUUUCUUUGCUGGCGACCGGCGCACGGGUGAGUAACACGUAUCCAACCUGCCCUUUACUCGGGGAUAGCCUUUCGAAAGAAAGAUUAAUACCCGAUAGCAUAAUGAUUCCGCAUGGUUUCAUUAUUAAAGGAUUCCGGUAAAGGAUGGGGAUGCGUUCCAUUAGGUUGUUGGUGGGGUAACGGCCCACCAAGCCUUCGAUGGAUAGGGGUUCUGAGAGGAAGGUCCCCCACAUUGGAACUGAGACACGGUCCAA
RNAcentral lists this ribosomal RNA (256 nucleotides) under uncultured bacterium. RNAcentral's name for it is "partial 16S ribosomal RNA". It matches the Rfam family "Bacterial small subunit ribosomal RNA", at positions 77 to 334 of the family's 1533-position model. The record is from RNAcentral.